AUUGAACGCUGGCGGCAUGCUUUACACAUGCAAGUCGAACGGCAGCGCGGGCUUCGGCCUGGCGGCGAGUGGCGAACGGGUGAGUAAUACAUCGGAACGUGCCCAGUAGUGGGGGAUAGCUCGGCGAAAGCCGGAUUAAUACCGCAUACGACCUGAGGGUGAAAGCGGGGGAUCUUCGGACCUCGCGCUAUUGGAGCGGCCGAUGGCAGAUUAGCUAGUUGGUGGGGUAAAGGCCUACCAAGGCGACGAUCUGUAGCUGGUCUGAGAGGACGACCAGCCACACUGGGGCUGGAACACGGCCCAGGCUCCUACGGGAGGCAGCAGUGGGGAAUUUUGGGCAAUGGGCGAAAGCCUGAUCCAGCAAUGCCGCGUGUGUGAUGGAGGCCUUCGGGUUGUAAAGCACUUUUGGCGGGAACGAAAAGGACUGUGCCAAUACCACGGUUCGAUGACGGUACCCGCAGAAUAAGCACCGGCUAACUACGUG
This 484-nucleotide ribosomal RNA is filed under the name uncultured bacterium. RNAcentral's name for it is "partial 16S ribosomal RNA". It matches the Rfam family "Bacterial small subunit ribosomal RNA", at positions 28 to 507 of the family's 1533-position model. The record is from RNAcentral.